AGGCAAAAAUAACUUUGACCCAGUCCAUGGCCCGGCUUGGCCCACGGGCCAGCCCGACCUACGACACGACACGACACGGCACGACACGGCAUGGGCUCGCACGGGCUCGGGCCGUGAGCCAUGCCAGGCCAACUCCAAAAUAUUCAAACAAAUAAAUAAAUUUAACAUUGAUAAGUUUGGAUGCCGACCCUGCCCUAGUGUCACAAGUGACUAGCCCCGUGACACCAGCCCACACCUAGAACCCGAACCUACGGUGGUUCAAAUUUAAAAAUAAAAACCUAAUUAAAAUUAAUUGGCCCGCGCGCGGGAAGAAAGAGAAAGGGAGAGAACAGAGAUGGAAAACCUUAGAAUGAAGGAGAAUAGAGCAUUAGAAAAACAAAAACAUAGAGAAUGAAGGAGAGUAUAGAGAGAGAGAGAGAGAGAGAGAGAGAGAGGAGGUGCUAUUGCUGUUGCAUUCAUUGCAAGAAAGGGAGAACGAAGAGAAAGGGAGGUGCUGUAAUCGCUGCUGCAUUCAAGUCAGAAAUAUUAAAACCUAAAAAUUUAUUGGCUGAACAAAGAAGAGAAAGGAAGAGGAGGGUAGGCUACCAGUGGAUUAUAAGAUUUCUUGCCCUUGGUUGUUAUGCAAUGCUACUUAUUCCUAGUUUUAUUCAAGGUGUGUUUUUUAUGAGGCUUGGUUGCUUUGACAUUUUUCAUUCAUCAGUGUUGGUCACUAGCAGCUCUUCUGGUCCCUAUGAUUGGCCAUCGAAUAAUUUUUUUUUUUUUUUUUUAUGAAAAUUAGACCUUAUGUGGGUCAUAGUUCUUGUGUAGGAUUUGCCUUUGUAUAUCUAAUGUGUUUAGUUGUUGGCAGUUGGGUAUUACUAUUUUUUCUCAAGUCAGGUCCAUAGAGGUAUAGUUUAUGGAGAUCAACCAAGAAAUAGGCUUGAUCUGUAUUUACCUAAAAAUAGCAAUGGGAAAAAUCAGUUGUGGCAUUUGUAACAGGUGGAGCCUGGAUUAUUGGGUUAGUGCUUUUUAAAGCAUAAAUUUUCCUCAGGGGACUAUCAGUGACAUAGUGAAAGAUGCUUCUCAAGGGAUCUCAUUUGUGUGCAAUGAUAUUUCUGAAUAUGGAGGUGACCUCAAUAGGAUUUAUUUUGAGACAAUAAGCUGGUGCACAUAUUGCUUCUUGUGCCCUCCUGGAGCAAGCAAUAAAAGAAGCUGGUGAAGGAGAGCACAUCCUGGUGUGUUUCGUAGAUAAAAGCUUAUUUCGAUUAGUCUGGAGGAAUCAUAGGUUGGAAAACACUUUUGUUCCACUUAGAGAUCUUCAUUCCCUUGAUGCAGUUCCAUUAUCAAACUUGGAUAUCAAGCAUAUACUUGGGACAAGGUCCUUUCAUGCACAUGCAACGACUAAGGAGAGGGAGAAUGCCAAUGCAAAGGGGAAAUUCCUUCGAACGAUAUAUUCUUCUUUAUUUAUAUAUUCUUUUAUAAAUGUUUAA
Molecule: RNA transcript, 1469 nt
Organism: Nelumbo nucifera (sacred lotus)
Lineage: Eukaryota; Viridiplantae; Streptophyta; Magnoliopsida; Proteales; Nelumbonaceae
Gene name: putative isoprenylcysteine alpha-carbonyl methylesterase ICMEL2
Source: RefSeq, a predicted model, not a curated record